RNAcentral lists this ribosomal RNA (507 nucleotides) under uncultured organism. RNAcentral describes it as "bacterial SSU rRNA". It matches the Rfam family "Bacterial small subunit ribosomal RNA", at positions 490 to 996 of the family's 1533-position model. The record is from RNAcentral.
GCCUCGGCUAACUCCGUGCCAGCAGCCGCGGUAAUACGGAGGAGGCAAGCGUUAUCCGGAAUUAUUGGGCGUAAAGCGUCCGCAGGUGGCGAUUCAAGUCUGCUGUACAAGCACGGGGCUUAACUCCGUUAAGGCAGUGGAAACUGAAUAGCUAGAGUGCCGUAUGGGUAGAGGGAAUUCCCGGUGUAGCGGUGAAAUGCGUAGAGAUCGGGAAGAACAUCGGUGGCGAAAGCGCUCUACUGGACGGCACUGACACUCAGGGACGAAAGCUAGGGGAGCGAAUGGGAUUAGAUACCACAGUAGUCCUAGCUGUAAACGAUGGAUACUAGGUGUAGCUUGUAUCGACCCGAGCUGUGCCGAAGCUAACGCGUUAAGUAUCCCGCCUGGGGAGUACGCACGCAAGUGUGAAACUCAAAGGAAUUGACGGGGGCCCGCACAAGCGGUGGAGUAUGUGGUUUAAUUCGAUGCAACGCGAAGAACCUUACCAGGGCUUGACAUGUCCGGAAU